Molecule: ribosomal RNA, 497 nt
Filed under: uncultured bacterium
Lineage: Bacteria
Description: partial 16S ribosomal RNA
Rfam family: Bacterial small subunit ribosomal RNA
Source: RNAcentral
GAUGAACGCUGGCGGCGUGCCUAAUACAUGCAAGUCGAGCGAACGGACGAGAAGCUUGCUUCUCUGAUGUUAGCGGCGGACGGGUGAGUAACACGUGGAUAACCUACCUAUAAGACUGGGAUAACUUCGGGAAACCGGAGCUAAUACCGGAUAAUAUUUUGAACCGCAUGGGUCAAAAGUGAAAGACGGUCUUGCUGUCACUUAUAGAUGGAUCCGCGCUGCAUUAGCUAGUUGGUAAGGUAACGGCUUACCAAGGCAACGAUGCAUAGCCGACCUGAGAGGGUGAUCGGCCACACUGGAACUGAGACACGGUCCAGACUCCUACGGGAGGCAGCAGUAGGGAAUCUUACGCAAUGGGCGAAAGCCUGACGGAGCAACGCCGCGUGAGUGAUGAAGGUCUUCGGAUCGUAAAACUCUGUUAUUAGGGAAGAACAUAUGUGUAAGUAACUGUGCACAUCUUGACGGUACCUAGUCAGAAAGCCACGGCUAACUACGUG